RNAcentral lists this small RNA (1100 nucleotides) under Pongo abelii (Sumatran orangutan). Its description in RNAcentral is "retained intron". Lineage: Eukaryota; Metazoa; Chordata; Mammalia; Primates; Hominidae. The record is from RNAcentral.
GGCUGUGGAAUGUGUGGAAGCAGGUACAGCCCAGGCCUGCGCUGAGGUUCGGCAGGGAAGCCAGAGGAGUCCGCAGCUGGGGAGACCUGGCCUACAGCGGAGAGAGUGGCCCGAGGCAGCCGGGAUGACAGCUCUCCCCAGGAAUCCUGCUGCCUGCUGAGAAACAUGGUCAGCAAGUCCCGCUGGAAGCUCCUGGCCAUGUUGGCUCUGGUGCUGGUCGUCAUGGUGUGGUAUUCCAUCUCCCGGGAAGACAGGUACAUCGAGCUUUUUUAUUUUCCCAUCCCGGAGAAGAAGGAGCCGUGCCUCCAGGGUGAGGCAGAGAGCAAGGCCUCUAAGCUCUUUGGCAACUACUCCCGGGAUCAGCCCAUCUUCCUGCGGCUUGAGGAUUAUUUCUGGGUCAAGACGCCAUCUGCUUACGAGCUGCCCUAUGGGACCAAGGGGAGUGAGGAUCUGCUCCUCCGGGUGCUAGCCAUCACCAGCUCCUCCAUCCCCAAGAACAUCCAGAGCCUCAGGUGCCGCCGCUGUGUGGUCGUGGGGAACGGGCACCGGCUGCGGAACAGCUCGCUGGGAGAUGCCAUCAACAAGUACGAUGUGGUCAUCAGAUUGAACAAUGCCCCAGUGGCUGGCUAUGAGGGUGACGUGGGCUCCAAGACCACCAUGCGUCUCUUCUACCCUGAAUCUGCCCACUUCGACCCCAAAGUAGAAAACAACCCAGACACACUCCUCGUCCUGGUAGCUUUCAAGGCAAUGGACUUCCACUGGAUUGAGACCAUCCUGAGUGAUAAGAAGCGGGUAAGUUGGGGGACAGACUAGGGGCUGAGGCCUGGUGGUGGGGACGCUGCCCGAGUCAGGACCUCACGCUCCUUGAUGUCUGCCUGGCAGUCCUAAAGAGCCUGUGUGGGGACAGCAUGAACUGGGCUCCUGGCAGUCAGCGCCUUAGGCUGCCCUCCAAGGGUGGUGCUCCGAUAAGCUGCCCCAGCAACUGGGUAUAAAAGCCUGCAGGUUUCAGGUGGCAGCAGCCACAGGCACCCACGCUCCAGGCGUGUCUGCGACAGGAACGCUUUCCCAGUAGGUGUUUGCCUGUGAGGAACUCAGGAGCU